Molecule: transfer RNA, 76 nt
Filed under: Gammaproteobacteria bacterium
Lineage: Bacteria; Pseudomonadati; Pseudomonadota; Gammaproteobacteria
Also listed under: 1 other name
Description: tRNA-Phe
Rfam family: tRNA
About the family: Transfer RNA (tRNA) molecules are approximately 80 nucleotides in length. Their secondary structure includes four short double-helical elements and three loops (D, anti-codon, and T loops).
Source: RNAcentral
GCCCAGGUAGCUCAGUCGGUAGAGCAGAGGACUGAAAAUCCUCGUGUCGGCAGUUCGAUUCUGUCCCUGGGCACAA